CGAGGGGCGGCGACACCCCCGCGCAGGGACAGGUGCCCCUGGCGGCGCGCGCUCCGAGGGAGGGCCCGGGGCACGGCCGGGAACCGGUCAUCGAAGAGCUGGAGAGGCGCGGGGCUGAGCUGCGGUCCGGGAAAGGUGGAACCAGAUCCGAGGGUGUCAGAGGAGGAAGGGCCCGCGGGAUCGUCUAUGGGGGAGCCCACGGCCCAGAAGUGGGAAAGGACAAAAUGCCCCUGAAACCUCGGAACCUCUCCGCUCCAGUAGCCAUCGGCGGGCUGCUGCACGGAGCCGGCAUCCGGUUUUUAAACCUGGCUCUCCAGUCACCAGCUGUUGACUUUGGUCAAAUUACUUAACCUCUCUGUCUUUUCCCUUAUCUGGGAAAUGGGGAUAACACACUUCAUAGUGUGACUGUGGGGUUAACUGAGUUCAUACCUACGAAGCGCGUUAUCCUGUGCUGCUCACUACACCACCUCCUGCGAUUCUUUUUUUUUUUUUUUCUUUAAUUGAAAUGGACAUAAAUGCUGAGACUCUAAGAGACUAGAGCGCCAUUCAUUGCUAUUCCAGGAAGCAUUCCUGGAGGCCAGGUGCCCACCAGCCAGCCUGCAUUGGGCCCUGCAGGGUACAAAGACUGGAAGAUAAGCCUCUUCCUCUGAAUGAUAGAUGCCUACGGGCCCCACCUACUUACAAAGAACCCUCAGAUGAUUCUGUCAGCCAAGGAAGGGGCCUAACAGUGACUUACACAUCUCUGCAAAGACACUCAUGGAAACUACCAUACUAAUGAACAUAGUCCUUUAUUCAUCAACGUAAACAGAAAACCAAAGAUUGCAAAUAUAUUAGGAAAACCAACAGCAUGGAAGAGAAGAUCCAAGUUGGACCAAUAGAAAAAUUGACCUUGGAGGAAACAGAGAUAAUUUAGGAAAGAAAGAUUUUAUAAAAAUUGUGGUCACUAUCUUCAGAAUAAUUUGAGAAGAUGCUGCAUUCAAGAACUGAGAAGAGGUGGCUAUGGGAAAGGAACAAGCAAAGAACAAGAAAAGAUUCUUGGGAAUUAAAAGUGGGAUUGCAAUAGGGAACACUCAAUAAGUGCGCCAAAUAAUAAAUUGGAUGCAGCGAAAGACCAAGCAGUUGAUCUGGAAUCAAGGAAUCUCAGAAUGUAGAGCAAGAAAAACAAAGAGACAGCAAACAUAAGAGAGUGCCAAGGACAGACACAGAGAUCCAGCAUCUGUCUGAUUAGGAAAGAACAGAGAAAAUGAAAGAGAGAGAAUACCCAAAGAAGUCACAGAACAACAUUUUCUUAAGCUCAAGAAAUAUGUGAGUCUUUAAGACUGAAAGUGUUCACUGAACAAAAUUAAGGUAAAAGGGUUAAACUCUUAGGCAUGGUGGCUCAUGCCUAUAAUCCCAGCACUUUGGGAGGCUAAGGCAGGAGGAUCACUUGAGCCCAGAAUUUCAAGACUAGCCUGGGCAAUAUGGUGAGACCCCAUCUGUACAAAAAAUUUAAAAAUUAGCCAGGCGUGAUGUCGCACACCUGUAGUCCCAGUUACUCAGAAGGCUGAGGUGGGAGGAUCACUCAAAUCUGGGAGGUGGAGGCUGCAGUGAACUAUGAUUGCACCACUGCACUCCAGCCUGGGGCAACACAGUGAGACCCUGCCUCAAUAAAAAGAAAAAAAUAAGAUUAAACCUCCCUCACUAGCAUUCUCAGUUCUCCUUACUCUAUUUAUUCCUUUUUUUGAUAGCACUAUAUAAUACUAGCACACUACAUAAUUGUCUUAUGCAUUAUGCAUAUUAUUUAUGACCUGUCUCCCCUGCUAGAAUGUAAGUUCCAGGAGGGCAGGAAUCUUUGAUUUGUUCCCUAAUGAAGCCCAGCACCUUGAACAGUGCCUUGCACCCUGGAGCCAUCAGUAAAGAUACGUCAAAUUGAAUUAAAAUCCAGACACAUCUUGGUACAAUUUCACAACUCCAAAUAUAAAUGGGAAAUCUUAAAAUCUUGGGGAUUUCCUAGAAAGAAAAAGAAACAGAACUUUCACCUGACAUGAACAACAUUGGAUCCUGGACAACAAUGAAUAACAUAACAUCUUCAUAGUUAGCAAGGAAGAAAAGCUUGGUACAAUCUAAACCCUGCCGAAGUACCAGUUAUUUGUAAAGGCAAUCGUAGGGCAUUUUCAGACAUACAAGAACUUGGAACAUUUACUGUUCAUAUUCCUUGGAUGACAAAAUUAUUCAAACAUAUUUUCCAGCAAAAAUUAAAGGAGGGUCCAAGAAAAAGGACAACAUGGGAUACAAGAAAUUGAAACCCCAAAGAAGUGAAAGAAGCCAGCAAGAGAUUAAGAGGAUUCAUCAUUUUCAGAUGCCCAAAAGGAUUUCCUUGGACCAACAUUUCAAAUGGCAUGAGGAUUUACAUUUAUUAAUAUUCCCUGGCUCCAGUCAUAUUAAUUGGUUCUUUUUUUAAUGGGGGUUUUCCAGUAAAAAAAAACAAAAAACAAACAAACAAAAAAAAGAAAACCUGCUAGACAAAUUCUAAAAGAGCUGUAACAAUUGGUUAUUUAGUUAAUAAUAUUUACAUAGUCACAAAGCUGAAAUGCUAUUUAAAAGUUUUUAAUUUUUGAAACAAUUAUAGGCAAAACAUAGAAAACUUACUUGGAGUUACAAAAUAAAAUGUAAAUUUUAUAAACGUUUACCCUGUAAGAACAGUAACUGACAAAAAUUGAGGUGAGGGCAGGGGGUGAGCAGAAAAUAUGCUUCUUUUAAAAAAAAACAAAAUUGAAAUCCCCUCUGCAGUCCUGGUCCUCUCUCUCCAUCUGUAGAAGCAAUCACUCUCCUGAAAUUG
Molecule: long non-coding RNA, 2818 nt
Filed under: Homo sapiens (human)
Lineage: Eukaryota; Metazoa; Chordata; Mammalia; Primates; Hominidae
Description: HSALNT0223700
Source: RNAcentral